Molecule: transfer RNA, 73 nt
Filed under: Stegodyphus mimosarum
Lineage: Eukaryota; Metazoa; Arthropoda; Arachnida; Araneae; Eresidae
Rfam family: tRNA
About the family: Transfer RNA (tRNA) molecules are approximately 80 nucleotides in length. Their secondary structure includes four short double-helical elements and three loops (D, anti-codon, and T loops). Further hydrogen bonds mediate the characteristic L-shaped molecular structure. tRNAs have two regions of fundamental functional importance: the anti-codon, which is responsible for specific mRNA codon recognition, and the 3' end, to which the tRNAs corresponding amino acid is attached (by aminoacyl-tRNA synthetases). tRNAs cope with the degeneracy of the genetic code in two manners: having more than one tRNA (with a specific anti-codon) for a particular amino acid; and 'wobble' base-pairing, i.e. permitting non-standard base-pairing at the 3rd anti-codon position.
Source: Rfam by way of RNAcentral
GCUUUUAUGGUGUAGUGGUCAGCACAUUCGGCGUGUAUUUGAGAGGUCCGUGGUUCGAGUCCCGGCGAGGGUA